RNAcentral lists this ribosomal RNA (117 nucleotides) under uncultured Inocybe. Its description in RNAcentral is "partial 28S ribosomal RNA". It matches the Rfam family "Eukaryotic large subunit ribosomal RNA", at positions 12 to 128 of the family's 3401-position model. Lineage: Eukaryota; Fungi; Basidiomycota; Agaricomycetes; Agaricales; Cortinariaceae. The record is from RNAcentral.
CANGUAGGACUACCCGCUGAACUUAAGCAUAUCAAUAAGCGGAGGAAAAGAAACUAACAAGGAUUCCCCUAGUAACUGCGANUGAAGCGGGAAAAGCUCAAAUUUGAAAUCUGGCAG